RNAcentral lists this ribosomal RNA (324 nucleotides) under uncultured bacterium. Its description in RNAcentral is "bacterial SSU rRNA". It matches the Rfam family "Bacterial small subunit ribosomal RNA", at positions 28 to 334 of the family's 1533-position model. The record is from RNAcentral.
GAUGAACGCUGGCGGCGUGCCUAACACAUGCAAGUCGAGCGAAGCACUCUACUCGAUUUCUUCGGGAUGAAGGUUUAGUGACUGAGCGGCGGACGGGUGAGUAACGCGUGGAUAACCUGCCUCAUACAGGGGGAUAACAGUUAGAAAUGACUGCUAAUACCGCAUAAUAUGCAGCCUCGCAUGAGACUGCUUUAGAAAACUCCGGUGGUGUGAGAUGGGCCCGCGUCUGAUUAGCCAGUUGGCAGGGUAACGGCCUACCAAAGCGACGAUCAGUAGCCGGCUUGAGAGAGUGAACGGCCACAUUGGGACUGAGACACGGCCCAA